This 968-nucleotide ribosomal RNA is filed under the name Triticum aestivum (bread wheat). RNAcentral's name for it is "partial small subunit ribosomal RNA". The record is from RNAcentral. Lineage: Eukaryota; Viridiplantae; Streptophyta; Magnoliopsida; Poales; Poaceae.
AGGUGUUUGCAGCAAUGUUUGAGCACUGUACCAGCCACGACCGCAGUCGUUGCAUCCCUGAACUGUCAUGGGCCUCCUGCGGCCUUGCUUCUUCCCCUGCCUUCUGCGCGGGCGAACCCCUUUUCGUCUUCCCAGGCACGGCCGCGACCUCCUUCUCAGUCGUGGCGCUCCAUCCACCUUCCUCCCCGUCUAGCUAGUAUAAGACACCUGCUGAUUUUAGAUCCUGCUAGCUUGGCAUGGGCAGAUUCCUUUACCAGGCAACACAAGUUUCGAUUUUCGGAACGUGUGCUUGAUUUUGAAUUACAUAUGUUGUUGACAGGAUAUUAGAAGAGAGCUAAAGAUAAAAGCGUUAGUGGUUCUUGAAUCGGCGCCAAAUAUGGACAUAGUCGUGCAAAGAUCCCUGACAGAGCGAGCCUGUCCAGAAUGCAACCAUCAUGAACUCGAAUAUUACACGAAGCAGCUUCGGUCGGCGGAUGAGGGGCAGACUAUCUUCUACGAGUGCCCGGAGUGCGGCCACGCGUUCAAUGAGAACAGCUAAGAAAAAGGUUUCCUACUAUCAGGGUAUGGAUAUGGGUGGAAGAAACUGCUCCUGCCAUUGGUUGACAAUCGAUGUUCAACAAAAUUUCUCCUGCCAUGCGUUGACCAUUGAUAGAUUCCCUGCAGCGGCCAAAUCCUGGUGCCGCUCGUGAACUUCGCCUCCAUCAGCUCCACUUCGCCGGAGCAAUUAGUCCAGAGGAGGAGGUGUAGCCGGUCCACCUGAUCUCCGACGUGUUAUUCUAACUCCAAAUAAAUUCUUUUUGAGUUCUAUUCUUAGUCACAUGUACACAUGCAGGUUCUAAACUUCUUGUCCAGUCAUUCUAGUACUGAUGAAGAUCGAGUUGACUGAAAUAAUAUAGUCGAUUCUUGAGACCCUUACUAGUCUUUCCAUAUAUAGAAGUUGUGCCUGAUAUCCAAACAUAACUUUUCUC